GAUGAACGCUGGCGGCGUGCCUAAUACAUGCAAGUCGAGCGAACGGACGAGAAGCUUGCUUCUCUGAUGUUAGCGGCGGACGGGUGAGUAACACGUGGAUAACCUACCUAUAAGACUGGGAUAACUUCGGGAAACCGGAGCUAAUACCGGAUAAUAUUAUGAACCGCAUGGUUCAAAAGUGAAAGACGGUCUUGCUGUCACUUAUAGAUGGAUCCGCGCUGCAUUAGCUAGUUGGUAAGGUAACGGCUUACCAAGGCAACGAUGCAUAGCCGACCUGAGAGGGUGAUCGGCCACACUGGAACUGAGACACGGUCCAGACUCCUACGGGAGGCAGCUGUAGGGAAUCUUCCGCAAUGGGCGAAAGCCUGACGGAGCAACGCCGCGUGAGUGAUGAAGGUCUUCGGAUCGUAAAACUCUGUUAUUAGGGAAGAACAUAUGUGUAAGUAACUGUGCACAUCUUGACGGUACCUAAUCAGAAAGCCACGGCUAACUACGUG
This 497-nucleotide ribosomal RNA is filed under the name uncultured bacterium. RNAcentral describes it as "partial 16S ribosomal RNA". It matches the Rfam family "Bacterial small subunit ribosomal RNA", at positions 28 to 507 of the family's 1533-position model. The record is from RNAcentral.